AUGGAUACACUACUAUUACUGAUCCUCAUUAUGACAACAGGUGUAACUGCUGACCAAGUCUCUCCUGAGCAGAAGGGCGUCACUCAGAGUGAAGAGGAAUCUGUAACACUCAAAUGCUCUUAUGAGACGAGCAGCAGCUAUGUUUUUCUUUACUGGUACAGGCAGUAUCCUGGACAGGCACCUCAGUAUUUGUUAUAUAAAGGUGCAAGAAGUUAUAGUGGUAGUUAUGAACACAUCCCUGAUCCAAGAUUUGAUUCCACAACAUCACAGACAUCCACUGAGCUCCAUAUUAAAGUCCUGACCCUGGCAGACACGGCUCUCUACUACUGUGCUCUGAGGCUAGCACAUGCUGCUGCAAGUUAUUUGCACUGGUAUCAACAAUAUCCAGGAUCUAAGGCUGAAUUCCUCAUCCUACAUGCAGAGACAGGAUCAUAUCAACAGCAAAGUAUCCCUCCACAUCCACGAGUGUCUGUUAAAGUGACCAGAAACAGGAGACGUUUGGAUGUGCACAUAUCUUCAGCUCAGCUGACAGACUCUGCUCUCUACUACUGUGCUAUGGAGCCCACAGUGAUGGAAAAUACAUCAUCAUUCUACACAAACCUACACCGGGAGUAUAUAAAGAGCUCUUAUAGCUGA
Molecule: non-coding RNA, 636 nt
Organism: Clupea harengus (Atlantic herring)
Lineage: Eukaryota; Metazoa; Chordata; Actinopteri; Clupeiformes; Clupeidae
Source: the annotation of a RefSeq genome assembly